RNAcentral lists this ribosomal RNA (496 nucleotides) under uncultured bacterium. RNAcentral's name for it is "partial 16S ribosomal RNA". It matches the Rfam family "Bacterial small subunit ribosomal RNA", at positions 28 to 506 of the family's 1533-position model. The record is from RNAcentral.
GAUGAACGCUGGCGGCGUGCCUAAUACAUGCAAGUCGAGCGAACAGACGAGGAGCUUGCUCCUCUGACGUUAGCGGCGGACGGGUGAGUAACACGUGGAUAACCAACCUAUAAGACUGGGAUAACUUCGGGAAACCGGAGCUAAUACCGGAUAAUAUAUUGAACCGCAUGGUUCAAUAGUGAAAGACGGUUUUGCUGUCACUUAUAGAUGGAUCCGCGCCGCAUUAGCUAGUUGGUAAGGUAACGGCUUACCAAGGCAACGAUGCGUAGCCGACCUGAGAGGGUGAUCGGCCACACUGGAACUGAGACACGGUCCAGACUCCUACGGGAGGCAGCAGUAGGGAAUCUUCCGCAAUGGGCGAAAGCCUGACGGAGCAACGCCGCGUGAGUGAUGAAGGUCUUCGGAUCGUAAAACUCUGUUAUUAGGGAAGAACAAAUGUGUAAGUAACUAUGCACGUCUUGACGGUACCUAAUCAGAAAGCCACGGCUAACUACGU